UUCAAUUGUAGAGAUCUUGGCUUCAAACUUUUGAGGCAUUGAAACCAUGAUCUUUUCUACCACCUUUUGAUCUGUAAAUGCCUCACCAAGAAGCCUCAUUUGGUUUACAACAUCCAUUAACUUGCUAGAAUAAUCUUUCAUAGAUUCGUUGUCUUUCAUCUUCAUCAAUUCAAACUCUCUCUUCAAUGUGAGGAGCCUGACAAUUUUGACAUUGUCACUACCCUCAAAUUCACCUUGGAGCUUGUCCCAUACCCGUUUAGGUGUUUCCAAGUCCAUGAUUUUGGUGAAGAUGUGGUCUGCAAGUCCUGAAUGUAGGCAGGUGAUGGCUUUGUCUUUCUUGAGUUUUUCC
RNAcentral lists this long non-coding RNA (349 nucleotides) under Vitis vinifera (wine grape). RNAcentral's name for it is "long non-coding RNA (VVIN_LNC000800)". Lineage: Eukaryota; Viridiplantae; Streptophyta; Magnoliopsida; Vitales; Vitaceae. The record is from RNAcentral.